This 253-nucleotide ribosomal RNA is filed under the name uncultured prokaryote. RNAcentral describes it as "partial 16S ribosomal RNA". It matches the Rfam family "Bacterial small subunit ribosomal RNA", at positions 524 to 776 of the family's 1533-position model. The record is from RNAcentral.
UACGUAGGGUCCAAGCGUUAUCCGGAAUCACUGGGCGUAAAGCGUGCGUAGGUGGUCUGUUAAGUGAGAUGUGAAAGCGUGUGGCUCAACCAUAUCGUUGUGUCUCAUACUGGCAGACUAGAGGACGGCAGAGGCAAGUGGAAUUUCUCGUGUAGCAGUGAAAUGCGUAGAUAUGAGAAGGAACACCAAUGGCGAAGGCAGCUUGCUGGGCCACCCCUGACACUGAGGUACGAAAGCGUGGGGAGCGAACAGG